Molecule: ribosomal RNA, 500 nt
Filed under: uncultured eukaryote
Lineage: Eukaryota
Description: SSU rRNA
Rfam family: Eukaryotic small subunit ribosomal RNA (bases 9-440)
Source: RNAcentral
AGGGCCACGAAACAGCCUGGCAUGUCUAAUAUAAGCUUUCAUUCUGUGAAACUGCAAAGGGCUCAUUAAAAAGUCACAAUGCAUUGGCGAUCAAUCCAAAGGAAUCCGGGGAUCUAUAGUAAACAGCACCGAACCAUUUGAAAAGGCGGGCGUAGUACAAAACCAAUUCAGGCAAGCCUGGGCCCCUGGAAGGAUUCACAAGGACAAAGGAUUAACAUGGGCAACAGCUGGGUGAUAAUUUCAUUUCCAGUUUUCUGAACCUAUCAGCUUUUCGACGGGUAAGGGUAUUGGGCUUACCGUGGCAAUGGACAGGGGGACGGAAGGAUUAAGGGUUUUGAUUUCCGGAAAAGGGAGCUUGAAAAAAUGGGCUACCACCAUCUUAAGGGAAGGGCAGCAGGGGCGCGCAAAUUUACCCCAAUCCCUGGCACAGGGGAGGGUAGUGACAAGAAAUUAACCAAUACAAGCAUUCUACUGUCUCUGUGAACUUGGAAAUGGAUUGG